Molecule: ribosomal RNA, 1424 nt
Filed under: Escherichia coli
Lineage: Bacteria; Pseudomonadati; Pseudomonadota; Gammaproteobacteria; Enterobacterales; Enterobacteriaceae
Description: partial 23S ribosomal RNA
Rfam family: Bacterial large subunit ribosomal RNA
Source: RNAcentral
UGGUUUUCCAGGCAAAUCCGGAAAAUCAAGGCUGAGGCGUGAUGACGAGGCACUACGGUGCUGAAGCAACAAAUGCCCUGCUUCCAGGAAAAGCCUCUAAGCAUCAGGUAACAUCAAAUCGUACCCCAAACCGACACAGGUGGUCAGGUAGAGAAUACCAAGGCGCUUGAGAGAACUCGGGUGAAGGAACUAGGCAAAAUGGUGCCGUAACUUCGGGAGAAGGCACGCUGAUAUGUAGGUGAAGUCCCUUGCGGAUGGAGCUGAAAUCAGUCGAAGAUACCAGCUGGCUGCAACUGUUUAUUAAAAACACAGCACUGUGCAAACACGAAAGUGGACGUAUACGGUGUGACGCCUGCCCGGUGCCGGAAGGUUAAUUGAUGGGGUCAGCGCAAGCGAAGCUCUUGAUCGAAGCCCCGGUAAACGGCGGCCGUAACUAUAACGGUCCUAAGGUAGCGAAAUUCCUUGUCGGGUAAGUUCCGACCUGCACGAAUGGCGUAAUGAUGGCCAGGCUGUCUCCACCCGAGACUCAGUGAAAUUGAACUCGCUGUGAAGAUGCAGUGUACCCGCGGCAAGACGGAAAGACCCCGUGAACCUUUACUAUAGCUUGACACUGAACAUUGAGCCUUGAUGUGUAGGAUAGGUGGGAGGCUUAGAAGUGUGGACGCCAGUCUGCAUGGAGCCGACCUUGAAAUACCACCCUUUAAUGUUUGAUGUUCUAACGUGGACCCGUAAUCCGGGUUGCGGACAGUGUCUGGUGGGUAGUUUGACUGGGGCGGUCUCCUCCUAAAGAGUAACGGAGGAGCACGAAGGUUGGCUAAUCCUGGUCGGACAUCAGGAGGUUAGUGCAAUGGCAUAAGCCAGCUUGACUGCGAGCGUGACGGCGCGAGCAGGUGCGAAAGCAGGUCAUAGUGAUCCGGUGGUUCUGAAUGGAAGGGCCAUCGCUCAACGGAUAAAAGGUACUCCGGGGAUAACAGGCUGAUACCGCCCAAGAGUUCAUAUCGACGGCGGUGUUUGGCACCUCGAUGUCGGCUCAUCACAUCCUGGGGCUGAAGUAGGUCCCAAGGGUAUGGCUGUUCGCCAUUUAAAGUGGUACGCGAGCUGGGUUUAGAACGUCGUGAGACAGUUCGGUCCCUAUCUGCCGUGGGCGCUGGAGAACUGAGGGGGGCUGCUCCUAGUACGAGAGGACCGGAGUGGACGCAUCACUGGUGUUCGGGUUGUCAUGCCAAUGGCACUGCCCGGUAGCUAAAUGCGGAAGAGAUAAGUGCUGAAAGCAUCUAAGCACGAAACUUGCCCCGAGAUGAGUUCUCCCUGACCCUUUAAGGGUCCUGAAGGAACGUUGAAGACGACGACGUUGAUAGGCCGGGUGUGUAAGCGCAGCGAUGCGUUGAGCUAACCGGUACUAAUGAACCGUGAGGCUUAACCUU